GACGAACGCUGGCGGCGUGCUUAACACAUGCAAGUCGAGCGGUAAGGCCCUUCGGGUACGACGAGCGGCGAACGGGUGAGUAACACGUGGGUGACCUGCCUCUAGCUCUGGGAUAAGCCUGGGAAACGUGGGUCUAAUACCGGAUAUGACUCCACGGCGCAUGUUGUGGGGUGGAAAGCCUUGUGUGGCUAGAGAUGGGCCCGCGGCCUAUCAGCUUGUUGGUGGGGUGAUGG
This 233-nucleotide ribosomal RNA is filed under the name uncultured bacterium. RNAcentral's name for it is "partial 16S ribosomal RNA". It matches the Rfam family "Bacterial small subunit ribosomal RNA", at positions 28 to 263 of the family's 1533-position model. The record is from RNAcentral.